AUGAGAGUAGGUCAUUUUCAUUUUAAGCCCCUAUACUUUAGGGUAGUUUAUUAUUCAGCAUUGCUGAGGCCACAGCUGACCCCUACACUAGCAAUGGUUUGGUUGUGGUUCUUGCAGACAGCAGGUCAUGCCGGCUGGGGUUGGGGUGGCUGCUUUGGGGCCCUAGAAGCUAGGGAAUAAGUAGAGGAGACUGCAGACACCUCUUGCUCAUUUCCCUGCUGCAGUGUCUUCCUUGUUUCUUGAGGACUGAUUUCUAAGUGGUCUGGAAAGAGAGAAUGGUGCUCAGUCAUACAUA
RNAcentral lists this long non-coding RNA (295 nucleotides) under Homo sapiens (human). Its description in RNAcentral is "HSALNT0248378". Lineage: Eukaryota; Metazoa; Chordata; Mammalia; Primates; Hominidae. The record is from RNAcentral.